This 457-nucleotide ribosomal RNA is filed under the name Streptococcus mitis. RNAcentral describes it as "bacterial SSU rRNA". It matches the Rfam family "Bacterial small subunit ribosomal RNA", at positions 28 to 471 of the family's 1533-position model. Lineage: Bacteria; Bacillati; Bacillota; Bacilli; Lactobacillales; Streptococcaceae. The record is from RNAcentral.
GACGAACGCUGGCGGCGUGCCUAAUACAUGCAAGUAGAACGCUGAAGGAGGAGCUUGCUUCUCUGGAUGAGUUGCGAACGGGUGAGUAACGCGUAGGUAACCUGCCUGGUAGCGGGGGAUAACUAUUGGAAACGAUAGCUAAUACCGCAUAAGAGUAGAUGUUGCAUGACAUUUGCUUAAAAGGUGCAAUUGCAUCACUACCAGAUGGACCUGCGUUGUAUUAGCUAGUUGGUGGGGUAACGGCUCACCAAGGCGACGAUACAUAGCCGACCUGAGAGGGUGAUCGGCCACACUGGGACUGAGACACGGCCCAGACUCCUACGGGAGGCAGCAGUAGGGAAUCUUCGGCAAUGGACGGAAGUCUGACCGAGCAACGCCGCGUGAGUGAAGAAGGUUUUCGGAUCGUAAAGCUCUGUUGUAAGAGAAGAACGGGUGUGAGAGUGGAAAGUUCACACUG